This 375-nucleotide long non-coding RNA is filed under the name Androctonus crassicauda. Lineage: Eukaryota; Metazoa; Arthropoda; Arachnida; Scorpiones; Buthidae. The record is from RNAcentral.
CGAAACUAGUCGUCGGGCACUGAUGAGGGACUUUGUGUGGUCCGAGAGCGUUUUGCCAUUGAGGGUCCUUUGCUUGUAGAGCUGUCUUUUUUGCUAGCAGGUAUCUCUGCUUGGGUGGUGUUUUAUUAUUAUACAAUGAAACAAAACAGAAAACAAAAGCAUACCGGCUUGGACAUUGCCCAGGUUAACAAGGUCUGUGUUUGUGAGUUAUGCAGAGGCUCGCAUUCGGAAAGUUCACUACAAUCUCUCUUGGCCACUGGUGGCGAAAGCAGCACCAACCCAAGUCUGGCUGCUACAAUAUACAUACCCACAGUAGGCGACGAGUCACCACAUCAGAGUCCAACCAGCCAAAAUGUUUCCCGGGCAACUCAGCCA